This 406-nucleotide ribosomal RNA is filed under the name uncultured bacterium. RNAcentral's name for it is "partial 16S ribosomal RNA". It matches the Rfam family "Bacterial small subunit ribosomal RNA", at positions 30 to 526 of the family's 1533-position model. The record is from RNAcentral.
AUUGAACGCUGGCGGCAGGCCUAACACAUGCAAGUCGAACGAGUGGCGGACGGGUGAGUAAUGUCUGGGAUACUGCCCGCUGGGGGGGGAUAACUACUGGCAACGGCAGCUAAUACCGCCUCCAAUCUGAUGUGCCCAGAUGGGAUUUGCUUGUUGGUGUGGUAACGUCUCACCAAGGCGGCGCUGCCUAGCUGGUCUGAGAGGAUGACCAGCAACACGGGAGAUGGGACACGGUCCAAACUCCGACGUGAGGCAUCGGUGGGGAAUAUUGGGCAAGGGGGGCUAGCCUAAUGCGGCCAUGCCGCGUGUAUGAAGAAGGCCUUCGGGUUGUAAAGUACUUUCAGCGGGGAGGCGGUACCCGCAGUAGAAGCACCGGCUAACUCCGUGCCAGCAGCCGCGGUAAUUC